UGAAGUACAAUCGAAAGACUAACUGGGGUCUGGAUCAGAAGGAUGCUGCGGAUAC
Molecule: transfer RNA, 55 nt
Filed under: Bigelowiella natans
Lineage: Eukaryota; Cercozoa; Chlorarachniophyceae
Description: partial tRNA
Source: RNAcentral